UACGGAGGGUGCAAACGUUGCUCGGAAUCAUUGGGCGUAAAGCGCACGUAGGCGGCCUGUUAAGUCGGGUGUGAAAGCCCUGGGCUCAACCCAGGAAGUGCACUCGAAACUGGCGGGCUUGAAUAUGGAAGAGGGUCGCGGAAUUCCCGGUGUAGAGGUGAAAUUCGUAGAUAUCGUGAGGAACACCAGAGGCGAAGGCGGCUACCUGGACAAUUGCUGACGCUCAGGCACGAAAGCGUGGGGAGCAAAAGGG
RNAcentral lists this ribosomal RNA (253 nucleotides) under uncultured bacterium. RNAcentral's name for it is "partial 16S ribosomal RNA". It matches the Rfam family "Bacterial small subunit ribosomal RNA", at positions 524 to 776 of the family's 1533-position model. The record is from RNAcentral.